Molecule: ribosomal RNA, 253 nt
Filed under: uncultured bacterium
Lineage: Bacteria
Description: partial 16S ribosomal RNA
Rfam family: Bacterial small subunit ribosomal RNA
Source: RNAcentral
UACGUAUGGUGCAAGCGUUAUCCGGAUUUACUGGGUGUAAAGGGAGCGCAGGCGGCACGGCAAGCCUGAUGUGAAAGCCAGCGGCCCAACCGCGGGACUGCAUUGGGAACUACCGGGCUGGAGUGCCGGAGAGGUAGGCGGAAUUCCUAGUGUAGCGGUGAAAUGCGUAGAUAUUAGGAGGAACACCAGUGGCGAAGGCGGCCUACUGGACGGUGACUGACGCUGAGGCUCGAAAGCGUGGGGAGCAAACAGG